Molecule: long non-coding RNA, 4059 nt
Organism: Biomphalaria glabrata
Lineage: Eukaryota; Metazoa; Mollusca; Gastropoda; Planorbidae
Exons: 2
Source: RefSeq, a predicted model, not a curated record
CUUGAAGAAUAUUCAAUGUCCUCCAAAGUAUAUCCAUACAGAAGAAACACUUAUCAGUACCACUGUUGAUAAAAAAACACAAAUGCUUAAGCUUCAGAAGACAAGAGGCAAAGGUCAAGAGUUCCAGUCUCGAGUCGAUUGAGUCUUAAGGAUCUAUCAUGGUGUACCAAUCCACUGUGCACUCAGUGAUGGGAUGGAUUUCAAAGUUAUCCUGUGUUAUUGCUCUGUCAAGCUUAGGAUCUACAGUUGAGUGCAGGAGCUGGGUGACUGUGACUUAUAACCAUUAUAUAUGCACUAAAAUGAGAUCUGAUCUACAAACAUUGCAUGUAUUAUUUGCCCAUCAUUAUUUAUUAAUAUUUUAUAUUGUCUUAAGUCAAGUAGACAAUAUUAAAAAAUAUACAUUAUCUAGAAUCAAGAUUAUUUUUAUUAGAUCUAGGAUACAAGAAUUCUGGAUAAGUAUAAAUUCUAGCCUUGGUAAUUAUUCUUAUAGAUCUAUCUAGAUCUAGAUCUUUUAAUUUAUACUAGAAUCUAGAUCUACGUCAUUAACCUAUCCUAUAUUAUAGGCUAAGAUUUUUUUUCAUUGAUUACAAAUACUUUUUGACUUGUUUUUAAUACAGCAGCCUUAGUAGGUGGUAGCCCUAGUUUUAUAUAUAUUAGUAUAGAUCAAGAAGAUCUAAUACAAGAAUAGUUGAAGUUGAAGAAUACUAUGUAAUACAGUGGCACUGUGACUGACUGUGACUGACAUAGGUGGAUAAUAAUCAUUGAUCUACACCUAAAAAAUAAUAGGCUACUGUGACCUAGCUAGAAACCAGAGAAUGAGGAUCCGAUGAGAGCUUUGAAUGUACGUUAUAUUUUUCAAAUUAAAUUUACCUAAUCUACUUAAUCUAGUCUACAUCUUUAAUCCUAUAGUUCUAAAUCUUAACAAGAUCUAGAUCUAUAUCUUUCAUGAAAUUAUAACAAUUGUAAAUUAUUUCACAGAUACACACAGUCACAGUGACACACCGCUGUGUGUGACAUUUCCGGGUUGUCUUAGUCAGUCUUAGUGUCUAGAAAUCUAGACUGUCAAUAAAGACGCACUGCGUAUCUAUUUUUUUUUAUUUGCUUCGAAAGGAUAACUCAAAUUGUUAACAUUACUUAAAACUAAUAUCUAAAUUAUUACCUUGUGCUCCGUGAAUCAUGAAUGCUAAGUAUACUAUUACAAUAUUUCGAAGGCCUGCUCCCAUGGUUUUGGGAGCCAUUUUGUUGUAACUUUUCCCCCCUUGAGUCCACUGUCUUGAAAGCGAGGCUUGUUUUCAGGUGUAUGACCUAUUUCUACCCUCAACAGGAAAUGUAUAACAAACUUCGAAUAAAGAGAGAUAUAUAGAGAGUCUAGGUCUUUAUAUAAAUGUCUAUAUUAUAGCUUUAUAUCCGCUCUCCUUAUAUAAAGUUCUCUAAUUUUUUUUUAAAAGUGUGUUUCAUUUUACAAAUAAAAAUAUAAAGGUCUAGAAAUGAUAGGAUCUAUUAUUCUAUUCUAAGUUUGAAACAUUUUCCCCCACUCGUUGACAAAUGUAUUUCUACUCCGUCAUCACAUGUAGUUCUAUACGUCAUCACAUGUAGUUCUAUACGUCAUCACAUGUAGUUCUAUACGUCAUCACAUGUAGUUCUAUACGUCAUCACAUGUAGUUCUAUACGUCAUCACAUGUAGUUCUGUAAAAUGUUUGUAAAAUGUUUUACAUGUUUCGGAUGUUCCUUCAGAGUUGAAGAUAAUUACUUCCUUGUCCAAACCUCCCGCAGGACGACGGGGGAUGGGAGCGGGCAGGGUUUAAACCCGGGACCAUCGAUAAAUCUGAACGACAGUCCAGCGUGCAAACCGCACGACCAGGCAGCCAUCCAGGAAAUGUAUAUACGUCAUCACAUGUAGUUCUAUACGUCAUCACAUGUAGUUCUAUACUUAAGUGUGAUUAGCAAUUUGGUGAGACGCAGAAGAAAAUGUUCUUACUCAUCAACUGGUCAUUAAGUCGAUAACACAGGCGGACUAGCUACACGGGCUCCCAAUCAAAUGCCCGGUGGCCGGUACCUACAUGGCCUAUAUGGGCUGAUGGGGAUGCAGGUGUAGUCACUUUGAAUGACAGUGAGCCCCGUUAACUUAAUUGGUCCUCGCCGUAACGUUUAUACAAGAUUCGUACAGACAUAACUGUGUACUAAUAUACUAGACCCAUAUUGCGUAGACCUAAUAAUAUGGAUUGGUUGGACACUCGCCAUACCAUGCUUCUGUGAGUUUCAAGCCUAUACGUACACUAAGAUAUUAACAAACAUUAUAAGACCAAAUUUUUUAUAGUUACAUUGGUGUUGACAUACUCGGGGGAAUAUAUAUUGGGACCCUGAACUUAUAGCCCAAAUUAGUAGUCAUUGUAUAAAAACAAACGGUCUGUAAUUCCACCGUAGACGAUAUUAAUUAUUUUUUUUACAUGGCGUGUGCAGCAUAUUAUUUAUUUGGGUCGGUUCGUCGCGAGAUCCUAGGAUUUCCUCGCUACAAAGACAUUCACAAACCAGUGGCGUUGCUAUUAUAGUCAUGUGCAGGUGGUGUGGGCCGCGCGGGGCAUCAACUGAUAAGAGGCAUCAAACUGAGCACAACAUUUCUUUUCUCAGCGAUAUACACCAGCUGUAAACUUUCUAGUAAAACGCGCGCUACACCGUUAGAGACGUUUUUGAGAUCCGUAUCCGCACCCACCCAAGUUUUUGAAGUUUCCAUGAAGUUACGAAAUAAAUAUAUAUUUAGUAGCCUAUAUAUAGGCCUGUGGUAUAGACUUAUUGUAAACAUAUAUAUAUAUAUAUAUAUAUAUGUGCAUUUUUUAAACUAAAGUAUGCCUAUAACUUUUUUAAAAAGAAGAACAAUGAUCCGAUAUUAAGUUUUUUUUUUCUUCUAAAAUAUAGGCACUUGGCAUGCUUUUAGUAUUACUAAUAAGCGGAUUUUUAUUAAAUCAAUUACAUAGUUGAGUAGGCUAUAUUUAACUUUAAAUAAAACAGCAUUAUAUCGUGUACCUACUGUCCUUGCUCCUUUUUUUUUAAGUAGCCUACUGGUAUGCUUGGCUAUGUUUUAUUAUCAUUGUUUAAAAGUGUGAGAAAUCUAUAUGAACAUACAAUAUCACCUGUUGUUUUUAUUGUUUGUUUUCAAUUCACUAAAGGUAUUCAUAUGGGAUUUUAAUAAGAGCUCGUUUUGUAUGUUUUGGAUUUUAAAGAUAAUUACCUCCUAGCCCAAACCACCUGCAGGUUGGCAGGGGAUGGGGGCAGGCAGGGUCCCUGGACCAUUGAUUGACAGUUCACAAGACAAGGCAGCCAGGAAUUAUGUGCUAAAUGACUUUUUGGUCAAUCCCUUUCUAACAGAAUGAUACAUAUCAAAUAUUAAAAUAUAGCCUAUUUUUAACUUGUCAAGAUAUUGUAAGUAGGGCACUUCUUUAGAUAUAGGCAUGGUCCAAAUACUCUUGCAUAUGUACAUUCUAGUAUAAGGAUGCAGUUUUAGUUGAGAAUCAUAAUGUAAUAUGUACUGUUGGCUUUGAAAUGUUUUUGGAUAAUGCUUUUAAUAAAACAAAGUUUGGCUCUGUUUUAAAAGACUUUUGUCUGACUCAAUAAAUGUAUCAGUUGCACUAUAUCAAAUAAGCCAAACAUCUAUUCAGAUUAGGGGUGCACCGGAUAGUACUUUUUGAUAUCCGGCCGGGGCCGGAUAUGACCGGAUAGUAAAAUUUGAUAUUCGGCCGGGGCCGGAGCCGGAUACCUAAGUGUCUUGUUAAUAGCUUGUGUUGCUGAACAUUUUACGAAACUGUUAAAUAACAUACCUAUAUUGGUUGGUUUUAUUUUUUUUUCCUUUUAUAUACCUUAUUGUUUUAAACUCUGUUACUGAUUGAUUUAUUCAAGCUUAACAGUAUUUCUAAAAAUCUGUAUAGCAUGAGUGUGUCUCUGUGUAUGUACGAUGCCACCAACUGUAAAGGAUGUGUGUAGGAAGGUCAAUGUAAAUAAUGUUAGUAUAUAUUUAACUAGUUACUAAUGUAUAUCUCAUAAGUAAAGUGCAAUCUGCCUUGUAUA